Long non-coding RNA from Xiphophorus hellerii (green swordtail), 1685 nucleotides. RefSeq lists it as uncharacterized. The transcript has 3 exons. NCBI's taxonomy places the organism in Eukaryota, Metazoa, Chordata, Actinopteri, Cyprinodontiformes, Poeciliidae. The record is from RefSeq and is a predicted model, not a curated record.
CUGUCAUUUUACAUUAAAAGUGAAUAGUUGACUUAUAAUCAAUUUGAAAUGUUAAAUUAAGUUUAUGAUUCAGUUAUUGUUUUGUAUUUUUAUCUUACUUUUGCGUAUAUUGUAGAAAUACUUGACUUUUGUUUUGUUACUUGGUUGAAAAAACACUUUGUCAACCAAAGACUGGAAGUUUGUUUACAAUAAUGUGGCUCAUUUUUUGUUUUAUUUUUUGUCUUUUAUCUUAUGAAUGAAGUUUUGGGUUAGGAAAACUUUCAUAUUGGUCUUCAGCUUUCUUUGCACUGUAGCUGUGUGCAUGUGUCUUUAUGUAAAUGACCAAAAAGAGCAUGUUGCAUCAUGUAGUCUCUUCGUUCUAAGAAAUGUGUCUUGAACAUGCAAUUUUAACACAACCUGUGCACUUGUUCUCCACCUUAAAACAAAUGUCUAACAAAUCGCUGUUUAAAUAUUUGAAUUAAAGAAAUGCAGGGCUGCACACCCACUGAAAUAAACCAUUAUUGUAACUCUCAGCUUUCAUACACUAACCUCUUGGUGAAUGCAUCAGAUCUCAUCUGAAGAUGGUAUGUAUUUGACAAAUUAGGGCUGCUGUAAUUCUUAUUAAUAUAUUUGGAAUAAACAAAACUUUUUUGUAGACUCUGGUUAUGGUUUCAUUUUUUAAGUGGUUCAUAUACAAAUGUUAUAAAAUUGCCUAACUGUGUCAUUGUAAUCACAGUGUAAAUGUGUUUUUUGAACUUCUGACUAAAAUUAAAAAACAGCAUUUUUAUUCUGUUAUUUUGGGUAGUUCUGUGGCUGAAGUAAGCCCUUUUUAAAAAGGGGGAAAUGUUUUAUCUCCUAGUAAAACUAAAAAUAUUAAUUCUGUCUGUGGGCAAAACCAAUUUGAAAUUAUUGAAGCAAUUUUUUACUGCUAGAACAAUCAUGCUUGAUUCAGUCAGGGAAGGCUUAUGACUUUUGUGCUGCAGAUAAUAAAUAUAGAUUAUGUGUUGCAGAAGAAACAAUGUGAGUCGAUGCGUUCUUUCACGUGCUGUAACAAUAUAAAACAUAACAUUUUCACAAACCAUAACAUUGCAGGCACUUGUAAUUGCAAUGUUGUUUUUGAAACAAACAGAAACAAAAGGCACGUUUUACAACAAUUUUAACUAUUUGAAUUCAUCCAUUCAUUCAUAAACCCCAGACACCAUAAAACACCUUGUUCACAGAUGUCUUUUUCUACAGGCUUCUCUCCAUGUACUUGUUUUUGGGUCUGCUAGGUCUUUUUGUCCUGUGUCACUCUGACUGCUUCUCCCAGGGGUUGGUGAUGAAAGAUUUGACAAACCCUCCAAAAGGGUGUGUGGAUGAAGAUGGGAAGGAGUGUGGAGUUAGGUCUAAAUGGUUGAGAGAGUCAGUGCAUGGAGUGCUCCUGCACCAAGGAGGGUUUGAGCUGCUGCAGCAUGAUGCCUGAUGAAACCACCGUAGAUAUCCCUGAGGAGUGAGGAGCUUGUUGUGGAUAAAGACGCCUGCUCUGCCAAGAUGGUGCAGAAGUCAGACAAAACACAGCCAUGUUAUCCUUUCUGAAAACACAAUACAGACUCUAAUGUUUAAGACACAGCUUCAGUCCAAUAUCUUGAUGCUAUUUCACGAUUGUAUUACAGAGUUAUGCAGUUUACACUCAGCAUAUAGCCAAUAAAACAGCAGUGCCUAUCUUA